UACGUGGGGGGGCAAGCGUUGUCCGGAUUUAUUGGGCGUAAAGAGCGUGUAGGCGGCCAGGGAGGUCCGUUGUGAAAACUCGAGGCUCAACCUCGAGACGCCGAUGGAAACCCCCUGGCUAGAGUCCGGAAGAGGAGAAUGGAAUUCCUGGUGUAGCGGUGAAAUGCGCAGAUAUCAGGAAGAACACCCGUGGCUAAGGCGGUUCUCUAGUACGGUACUGACGCUGAGACGCGAAAGCGUGGGGAGCGAACAGG
Molecule: ribosomal RNA, 254 nt
Filed under: uncultured bacterium
Lineage: Bacteria
Description: partial 16S ribosomal RNA
Rfam family: Bacterial small subunit ribosomal RNA
Source: RNAcentral